RNAcentral lists this transfer RNA (60 nucleotides) under Pseudoniphargus sp. 6-Morocco A. RNAcentral's name for it is "tRNA-Ala". Lineage: Eukaryota; Metazoa; Arthropoda; Malacostraca; Amphipoda; Allocrangonyctidae. The record is from RNAcentral. RNAcentral also lists the same sequence under 1 other name.
AGGAUUAUAGUUUAUUUAAAACAUUUAGCUUGCAACUAAAAAAUACACGAGUUAACCCUU